CCUACGGGAGGCAGCAGUGAGGAAUAUUGGUCAAUGGACGAGAGUCUGAACCAGCCAAGUAGCGUGAAGGAUGACUGCCCUAUGGGUUGUAAACUUCUUUUAUAUGGGAAUAAAAUGUUCCACGUGUGGGAUUUUGUAUGUACCAUAUGAAUAAGGAUCGGCUAACUCCGUGCCAGCAGCCGCGGUAAUACGGAGGAUCCGAGCGUUAUCCGGAUGUAUUGGGUUUAAAGGGAGCGUAGGUGGAUUGUUAAGGCAGUUGUGAAAGUUUGCGGCUCAACCGUAAAAUUGCAGUUGAAACUGGCAGUCUUGAGUACAGUAGAGGUGGGCGGAAGUCGUGGUGUAGCGGUGAAAUGCUUAGAUAUCACGAAGAACUCCGAUUGCGAAGGCAGCUCACUGGACUGCAACUGACACUGAGGCUCGAAAGUGUGGGUAUCAAACAGGAUUAGAUACCCUAGUAGUC
Molecule: ribosomal RNA, 460 nt
Filed under: uncultured bacterium
Lineage: Bacteria
Description: partial 16S ribosomal RNA
Rfam family: Bacterial small subunit ribosomal RNA
Source: RNAcentral